Molecule: unclassified non-coding RNA, 210 nt
Filed under: Mycoarthris corallina
Lineage: Eukaryota; Fungi; Ascomycota; Leotiomycetes; Helotiales
Also listed under: 2 other names
Description: partial internal transcribed spacer region
Rfam family: Eukaryotic small subunit ribosomal RNA (bases 1-46)
Source: RNAcentral
AAGUCGUAACAAGGUUUCCGUUGGUGAACCAGCGGAAGGAUCAUUACAGAGUUCAUGCCCUUACGGGUAGAUCUCCCACCCUUGAAUAACAUACAUUGUUGCUUUGGCGGACGCUUCGGCAGCCGCCAGAGGACCCUAAACUCUUGUUUACAGUGUCGUCUGAGUACUAUAUAAUAGUUAAAACUUUCAACAACGGAUCUCUUGGUUCUG